This 1359-nucleotide ribosomal RNA is filed under the name uncultured bacterium. Its description in RNAcentral is "bacterial SSU rRNA". It matches the Rfam family "Bacterial small subunit ribosomal RNA", at positions 28 to 1381 of the family's 1533-position model. The record is from RNAcentral.
AUUGAACGCUGGCGGCAGGCUUAACACAUGCAAGUCGAGCGGGGUGAUGGUGCUUGCACUAUCACUUAGCGGCGGACGGGUGAGUAAUGCUUAGGAAUCUGCCUAUUAGUGGGGGACAACAUUUCGAAAGGAAUGCUAAUACCGCAUACGUCCUACGGGAGAAAGCAGGGGAUCUUCGGACCUUGCGCUAAUAGAUGAGCCUAAGUCGGAUUAGCUAGUUGGUGGGGUAAAGGCCUACCAAGGCGACGAUCUGUAGCGGGUCUGAGAGGAUGAUCCGCCACACUGGGACUGAGACACGGCCCAGACUCCUACGGGAGGCAGCAGUGGGGAAUAUUGGACAAUGGGCGCAAGCCUGAUCCAGCCAUGCCGCGUGUGUGAAGAAGGCCUUAUGGUUGUAAAGCACUUUAAGCGAGGAGGAGGCUACUUUAGUUAAUACCUAGAGAUAGUGGACGUUACUCGCAGAAUAAGCACCGGCUAACUCUGUGCCAGCAGCCGCGGUAAUACAGAGGGUGCAAGCGUUAAUCGGAUUUACUGGGCGUAAAGCGCGCGUAGGCGGCUAAUUAAGUCAAAUGUGAAAUCCCCGAGCUUAACUUGGGAAUUGCAUUCGAUACUGGUUAGCUAGAGUGUGGGAGAGGAUGGUAGAAUUCCAGGUGUAGCGGUGAAAUGCGUAGAGAUCUGGAGGAAUACCGAUGGCGAAGGCAGCCAUCUGGCCUAACACUGACGCUGAGGUGCGAAAGCAUGGGGAGCAAACAGGAUUAGAUACCCUGGUAGUCCCUGCCGUAAACGAUGUCUACUAGCCGUUGGGGCCUUUGAGGCUUUAGUGGCGCAGCUAACGCGAUAAGUAGACCGCCUGGGGAGUACGGUCGCAAGACUAAAACUCAAAUGAAUUGACGGGGGCCCGCACAAGCGGUGGAGCAUGUGGUUUAAUUCGAUGCAACGCGAAGAACCUUACCUGGCCUUGACAUAGUAAGAACUUUCCAGAGAUGGACUGGUGCCUUCGGGAACUUACAUACAGGUGCUGCAUGGCUGUCGUCAGCUCGUGUCGUGAGACGUUGGGUUAAGUCCCGCAACGAGCGCAACCCUUUUCCUUAUUUGCCAGCGAGUAAUGUCGGGAACUUUAAGGAUACUGCCAGUGACAAACUGGAGGAAGGCGGGGACGACGUCAAGUCAUCAUGGCCCUUACGGCCAGGGCUACACACGUGCUACAAUGGUCGGUACAAAGGGUUGCUACCUAGCGAUAGGAUGCUAAUCUCAAAAAGCCGAUCGUAGUCCGGAUUGGAGUCUGCAACUCGACUCCAUGAAGUCGGAAUCGCUAGUAAUCGCGGAUCAGAAUGCCGCGGUGAAUACGUUCCCGGGCCU